RNAcentral lists this ribosomal RNA (527 nucleotides) under uncultured Sebacinaceae. RNAcentral describes it as "eukaryotic LSU rRNA". The stretch from base 179 to 332 matches the Rfam family "5.8S ribosomal RNA". The record is from RNAcentral. Lineage: Eukaryota; Fungi; Basidiomycota; Agaricomycetes; Sebacinales; Sebacinaceae.
GGGUUUGGAUUGCGAUGGCUGCCUUCAGUGCUGGCUCUUAUGAGCAUGUGCACGUUGGUGGCUUUCAUCCAAUACCCAUGUGAACCUUUGGCCUCUUGCUAGCUUUGGCUGGCAGAGGAUUUUUAUACACACACUCGAAUGUAAUGAAAACUAUUGUCGUGCGCAAGCACUAAUGUACAACUUUCAACAACGGAUCUCUUGGCUCUCGCAUCGAUGAAGAACGCAGCGAAAUGCGAUAAGUAAUGUGAAUUGCAGAAUUCAGUGAAUCAUCGAAUCUUUGAACGCACCUUGCACCCUUUGGCAUUCCGAAGGGUAUGCUCGUUUGAGUGUCAUUGUACUCUCACACUCUCUGAUCCUUUGGAUUCAGGGAGCGGUGGACUUGGGUGUUUGCCGCUUUCCUUGUGGCUCACCUCAAAUGUGUUAGUGCACCUCUUGGUUGGACAUAGAACGGCGUGAUAAGUGUCUUCGCCGGCACCUCGCAAGAGGGUGGCCAAUUGGGAGCUCUGUGCUUUCAAACCGUCUUCGGA